Long non-coding RNA from Micropterus salmoides (largemouth bass), 239 nucleotides. RefSeq lists it as uncharacterized. The record is from RefSeq and is a predicted model, not a curated record. NCBI's taxonomy places the organism in Eukaryota, Metazoa, Chordata, Actinopteri, Centrarchiformes, Centrarchidae. The transcript has 2 exons.
AGGCAGGACGACUCUCCUCCAUGAAGACCUGAUCAGAGGAGUCCUGACUCUGCACAUCUCCUCAGUGAAGCUGUCUGACAGAGGACUUUACAAAGGCUUUGUCCCAAAGCUGAAGACCAGCUGUGUUGUUGACCUCAUUGUUGAAAUGGUGGGAAAAGACCAGCAGAACGAGACAAAGAGAGAUUAUUCCAGCACAACUGGACCUCCAGAGGAAGAAGAGACCGAGCCAGACGGUCGUG